AAGUCGUAACAAGGUUUCCGUAGGUGAACCUGCGGAAGGAUCAUUAAUAAUUUUUUCAUCUAAUGAUGAUUAAAAUUAACCUUGUGUGCAAACAUUGCUUUGAAAGGAAGAAGAUGAAUAGAGAAAAAGGUGAAGCUCUUGCAAAGAGAGUGAAUCCAAUUUCUUUACCAUCUUCAACCUAUAAUAAAAACACCUAGCAUCAAAAUUAUAUAAAACAAAAAAUAUUUAUAAUAAAAUACAACUUUCAACAACGGAUCUCUUGGCUCUC
This 268-nucleotide unclassified non-coding RNA is filed under the name fungal sp. RNAcentral describes it as "partial internal transcribed spacer region". The stretch from base 1 to 46 matches the Rfam family "Eukaryotic small subunit ribosomal RNA", at positions 1786 to 1831 of the family's 1831-position model. The record is from RNAcentral. Lineage: Eukaryota; Fungi.